ACGAGAUGGAGAUUAGAUUCAGUACUCCUGUCGUCUUUCUAAUUAAAAAAAAAAUUAUUUGGAUAACAUUAUUCUGAUAGUGAUUUUUUUUAUUGUAUCGUGUAUUUGAAGUAUUAGUUAUCGAAAAUGAUCUCAUUUUUAUAUAUCACACGAUACAGAUAACUAGCGUUGAUAGAGUGAUACAGAGAGGAGCGAGAAAAUGGGACAGAGAGAGAGAGAGAGAGAGCAACGCACAUUGUGUAUAAUAUGCUGUAGUAGAACAAUUGUUGCCGAAUGUUUAGAAAAAAGAAAGAAACACUUGAAUGUAUCCUCCUUAGCUUGACGUUAAUACGUGUAUUUUAGACAUCUGUAUUUAUAUCUCCACGAUGUUGAUUAACGCAAUCAAAAAAUUGAGAAAAGUAAAAAAGGUAAAAUGACAAAAAAAAAAAGAAACGAGCGCGUGCCCUAUUUUUGUAACCAAAACGUAUUUUGAAUACGAUAAAAAUUUUCACAUUCUCGAAAUGCGCGUUUUUUCGCAGUAAGAUGUAUAUUUUAUUGUUUAAUGCUGUGAUGUGACAAAAUCGGCGGCGUGCAGUCUCUACCCAGAACUUCAUUUCUAUAGGAGGGAAGGAGAAAGGAAAAAAUAGUGAAAGAAAGGACAUAAGAUUUUGAGAACGAGAGAGAUUCUGUUGGUUAAGAAAAUAUUGGCGAAAGGAGUCUUGAAUAUCGUGAGAUUGGACGAGACCGCAUCGGUAAAAGAAAGCUUCGAAUUGUAGUGAAAAGAAGAAAAAUGGAUUUACAAAAUCAGUUUUGCUAUUUUAUCGUCUAUUAAGGACGUUUUCUUUUCUAUUUUUUAAUCUUUUUUUAAUCGAAUAAGUCCUAAAAUCUGUGAUGAGCGUUGAAUAAAUCAUUAAAGAAAUCACUGAAGAAGUCGGUGGUAAAAAGACUAAUAUAAUCGGCGCGAUUUUAUCCAAUCUUUACGAUCUCUUUCGAGAGGCGCUUAUUUGUUCGUAGCAUUUUCUAUCGCAUGCAUACUCGCUGCACGACAAGGUUAACACAACUUCCUUUUAGCAAUACUAUAGAUUUAUAUAUAUGUGUACGAUGCGAAACAGCCACUCUGUGCAAGGGAAAAAGGCGAGGCAGUUAGUAUAAUAAGGUCGUUUUUUCGUUAUCCAACCAGAAGCUAAGGCUAUCUUCGUCUUCAGAGAUCAGAAGACGAAAAUAACGUUAGUCGUGGUUACUUCUGGUUGCAUAACGAAAAAACGCCAUAGCUCGAGGUGCCCUUCACUUGUACAGUUGCAAGAAUUACGCUUUAGGGACGAAAAUCAUAUGACCAAUGUAAAAUACAAAAAAUAUCGGAAAAAUAUAUAUGUAAAUAUAUACAUAUAUUUACACACAUACACGUAUACACAGGAAGCGUGUUAAUGCGAGAGUUGCACGAAUAAAUCGUACGAUUUUCGCCCUUCUGUGCGAAAAAACUCCUACCGUAUGUGAUUACAUUCCUGUGUCACAUUGCUAUGGAUGUACCCUCGAUCGGAUGUUUAUCCAAAUAAAUUGAUCGAUAUAUGUAUCGCAAGGCGAUUAGGCACAAAUGCGAUUACAUCAAGAGACUAAGAUGUGUAUCGGCUGUAGGCGAUGCAAGUAAAACGAAGAGAAAAAUGUAGGUUGAAGCGAGAAAGGGCAGAGUAGAGCGAAGCGAAAUGAAGUAACGUUAUAUAUGUGAAGUAUAUAUGUACACACAUACCUUUUUCAAGCUCGAGAAGCCACUCGUACAUAAUACCGCGUAAAUCUCCUUCUCGAAACCCAUGCAGACAACGGAGGAGAUGAUGAGGAUCGCACCAGUUAGACUGGUCGACGUGGGCUUCUCGCCGAACAGCGCCUUUGUGACCAACACCUGACCGGUAAGGCCAGUUAACGCCACCAG
Molecule: long non-coding RNA, 1903 nt
Organism: Trachymyrmex cornetzi
Lineage: Eukaryota; Metazoa; Arthropoda; Insecta; Hymenoptera; Formicidae
Exons: 3
Source: RefSeq, a predicted model, not a curated record